AUGCUUGCUUUGGCAGCAUACGAUUUAGAGAAGAUGAGCAUGGCCCCUGCACAAGGAUGACAUGCAAGUUCAUAAAGUGUUCCAUAUUUUU
Molecule: small nuclear RNA, 91 nt
Filed under: Carlito syrichta (Philippine tarsier)
Lineage: Eukaryota; Metazoa; Chordata; Mammalia; Primates; Tarsiidae
Source: RNAcentral